AGUGAACGCUGGCGGUAGGCCUAACACAUGCAAGUCGAACGGCAGCACAGUAAGAGCUUUCUCUUACGGGUGGCGAGUGGCGGACGGGUGAGGAAGACAUCGGAAUCUACUUUUUCGUGGGGGGGAACGUAGGGAAACGUACGCUAAUACCGCAUACGACCUACGUGUGAAAGCAGGGGAUCUUCGGACCAUGCGCGAUUGAAUGAGCCGAUGUCGGAUUAGCUAGUUGGCGGGGUAAAGGCCCACCAAGGCGACGAUCCGUAGCUGGUCUGAGAGGAUGAUCAGCAACACUGGAACUGAGACACGGCCCAGACUCCUACGGGAGGCAGCAGUGGGGAAUAUUGGACAAUGGGCGCAAGCCUGCUCCAGCCCUACCGCGUGGGUGAAGAAGGCCUUCGGGUUGUAAACCCCUUUUGUUGAGAAAGAAAAGCAGCAGGUUAAUACCCCGCUGUUCUGACGGUACCCAAAGAAUAAGCACCGGCUAACUUCGUG
RNAcentral lists this ribosomal RNA (492 nucleotides) under uncultured bacterium. Its description in RNAcentral is "partial 16S ribosomal RNA". It matches the Rfam family "Bacterial small subunit ribosomal RNA", at positions 29 to 507 of the family's 1533-position model. The record is from RNAcentral.